This 457-nucleotide ribosomal RNA is filed under the name uncultured bacterium. Its description in RNAcentral is "bacterial SSU rRNA". It matches the Rfam family "Bacterial small subunit ribosomal RNA", at positions 33 to 507 of the family's 1533-position model. The record is from RNAcentral.
ACGCUGGCGGCGUGCCUAACACAUGCAAGUCGAACGGAGUGAUGACUUCGGUUAUCACUUAGUGGCGAACGGGUGAGUAACGCGUGAGGAACCUGCCUCUCAGUGGGGGACAACAGUUGGAAACGACUGCUAAUACCGCAUAACACUUUAGUACCGCAUGGUACAGAAGUCAAAGCUUAAUGUGCUGAGAGAUGGUCUCGCGUCUGAUUAGCUAGAUGGCGGGGUAACGGCCACCAUGGCGACGAUCAGUAGCCGGUCUGAGAGGAUGAACGGCCACAUUGGGACUGAGAUACGGCCCAGACUCCUACGGGAGGCAGCAGUGGGGAAUAUUGGGCAAUGGGGGAAACCCUGACCCAGCAACGCCGCGUGAAGGAAGAAGGCCUUCGGGUUGUAAACUUCUUUUAGCAGGGACGAAGAACGUGACGGUACCUGCAGAAAAGCAACGGCUAACUACGUG